GCCUUGCCCACAACGCUGAAGGAGAACCGCCGGGAAGAGGGGCGGCCCUGAGGGCUCCCCAAAGCCUUCCUCAGCCAGAUGAGCUUCAGUGCUGCACUACUUCACCUCCGAACGCCAGAGCGAGAACAGAGCAGCAACACCAUGAGAGCCGCUCAGUAGCCGGCGGGCAGCACAGAGGAAGAGACAGACUGACAGAAACACACGAGGAAUCGACACCGAGAUGGGGGAGGGAGACCCCAACCCUUCAGAGGGCUGAGGGAGAGUCGGCUCAGGGGAGGGCACUGUCCACUUACCGCGGUCCGCCGGGAUCCCUCGGCGCGUAGGAUCCCCGCCCGACCGCCCCCACCGGGUGUUCAAGGAGCAGGCUGAGGGGGGCGGUGGAGGCCGCCAGCGCAACUCACCGGGGGAGCCGCCGGGGCUGUGUCUCCAGCCGGCCGCCUGAGGAAAGCAGGGCAGGAGAGAGAAACACCGCCGGGCUCGGCGCUCCGCCGCCGGUAGCUGCCGCGCCCCCUGGCGGGCCGCCGCGGGCAGGGCGGCCCCGAGAGGGGAGAGGGGCGUCUCGUAAAGGAGCGGGCUUUCCUUUAGGCGGUUUGGUGAGGCACGGUGACCGUGUGAGGCAGGCAUUCUCUGCCGAGUCGUGCCCGUCUGCCGCGGGCCCCAGCAGCGGCAUGACCGCUUUGGCGCCCUCGAAGGGUGCGGGCUAGGAGAGGAGCCCGCGGGACAGCAGGGGCAGCCGCGGCAGCGGACGUGGCCGCAGGGCUGACCCGGCACCCCUUGAUCCGGAAAGAGGUGAAAAAGCUGCUUCACUGCGCGGAUGCAGCCAAGCUGUGUUACUCCAUGAGAAGAGAAAGCUUCAAGGACAUGUGGACAAAUACAGUGAUUGCCUGACUUGGAUUCAACAAUACUAUUUUGACAUGAACAUGUUGCCUGUGGGCAUCCUACAAUGCAAACACUCCAAAGCUGCCUUCCCCCAGGCUGAUUAGGGAGUAUCUCAAAGGGGAAGCUUCCAAAGCAGAGCACACCCUUCCUCUGCAUUAUCUGAGUGGAUGUAGUUCAUGUGUGAGAAUUCUCAAAGUUUCAGCACUACAUGGAUUCUGCUUCCAGGGAGGUCAAGGAACUGCAGAUAAGGAAGCCAUGUUUAGCACUUCUAAAAAUCCCACAGAAUAAACACCUGAUAUAUUGUAUUACCAGCA
Molecule: long non-coding RNA, 1193 nt
Organism: Pogoniulus pusillus (Red-fronted tinkerbird)
Lineage: Eukaryota; Metazoa; Chordata; Aves; Piciformes; Lybiidae
Exons: 3
Source: RefSeq, a predicted model, not a curated record